Pygocentrus nattereri (red-bellied piranha) is the source of this 4800-nucleotide long non-coding RNA. RefSeq lists it as uncharacterized. The transcript is spliced from 3 exons. NCBI's taxonomy places the organism in Eukaryota, Metazoa, Chordata, Actinopteri, Characiformes, Serrasalmidae. The record is from RefSeq and is a predicted model, not a curated record.
CUGCUCUACUGAACCCAGCCCUUUUGUCAAGAGUUCAGUCCAGUCUAGCCGCUCCAGUGCUACAGGUGCACCACCCACACCCAUUGAUUCGUAUGCAGGUCAAAGGUCACCCAGGCCUGCUGCCUGACCAAACCUGCCUCCAGUCUCCUGUGUGUUUGGACGCGCUCUCAGCGGGCGCACUUGUUCCAGUCCGUGGCCAUCUGUGUCCGAGCCCAAACGGAAGGUGUCAGGAAGUCAGACCACAACAAUAAAGGCCCAGAGGGAGGCAGACAGAGAGGUUGAGCUGUGAGCACUCUGACAGGAGACGGGAAGAGGAAACACAUGGCACAGAGAGCAGAGGCUGGGAGGUGGGCCUGUGGCCACGGCACAAAUACUUUCCAGCGCUGAAGGCCAGCAGAGGCUCCUCCUGUCCACACAGGCCUGCAGGAAGCCCUCCACUCCACUGCCACUAGCCCUGCCACCCGAAGACCAGUGUUCAACUUCUAUUGCCAUUAUCACUACCACUAGCGCUGCCACUCUACUGCCAUCAGCACAGCCACCCACUGUUGCUCCAUUCCACUUCUACUGAUACAAACACUGCCACUAAUACUGCCACUGCUACUGCCUCUCUAUUUCAUUGUCACCACUUUUCACUAACACCAGCAAUGCCUUUAGCACUACUACUGUUCUCCACUACAUAUCCACUGCCACUAGCAUUACAAUUCCACUGCUGCUAACACUACUGCUAGCACUACUCCAUUCUACUGCCAGUGCCAUUAAUACUGCAAAUCCACUUAACUGCUGCUAGAUAUUAGCACUACCACUCCACUCCAGUAUCACAACCUCAAAAACUGCCACUCCACUGCUGUCAAGGUUAUUGUUCACACUACCACUUCAUUCCAGUACCACAGCCUUUAACACUACUGCCACUGACACUGCCUCUAGCACAUCCAUUCAAUGCACUGCCAUUCCCAAGCACUGCCACUCCACUGCCACUAGCACUGUCACUCCAUUCUACAUGACAGCACAGUGAUCAACAGGCCCACAGACAUGUACAAAACAAGACCUACAGCUUUAGAGCAAAUGUUUGGACAGAGAAAGGGUAAAAUAUCAUUUAAGAUUGCAUGCACUGCAUUAUGCAGAAUCAAUUAAAUAUAAAACAGGUUUUCAGAUAAAAAAUAUAUAUUUUUGUGAUUUUUUUUUACCACCACUCAAGUUGUUUUUGGUAGGUACUUGAGUCAUUACUUCACUCAAAUAAGAAUACUUUUAUUGAGUUGAGGUUUUAGGCUACUUUGUCCACUUGUGUUUAUAAAGAACUGCCUGAGAUUGCAAGACUCCUAGGAGUACAUGAGGCCCUCUCUGAGACUGCUGGGUGAAUUUCCCACUAUUCUGCCAGUGGAUUGCCACACACCAUUCUGAGGUUAGAUGUAGACAGAGAGGUGAACCUAACAAACAACCAACUGAUCAUCGGCCCACUGAGUUUUAUAUGAGCUGAGUGUAAUAGUAAUCCACACAGAUUGCAUAAUGGCAGUGCGGCACUGAUUUCCACAUUUGGUGGGCUUUUACAUUGGUCUAGUAAUCACUUGCAGAGACUUAAAAGUUGUACGGCACACCGCUAAAGCUCAAAAGCAGCUGUGGUGGGCCAAAUAAAAAGCCAUGGAAGGAUAUGUUAUUAGCCACUGGGAGGUUAACAGGCCUUGUACUGGUACUGGCUGCUGUGGAAAAGCUCAGACUGGAGCUUUUGAUUCAGCGCUCAGGGCACGAAAGCCUGUGUGUUCACCAUCAAGAAAGAAAGAGGUUUAUUUACAAAACUAAAGCAGAAGCUUACACAAUUUGUAUUAUAUCAGAAGCAAAACAAACCAUCUUUAGUCACUCUUUAUUUGAAGUGUCUGUGAUCUAUGAGGCAUCAGGCCUAUUUCUUUAAUGGAUCACACAGUAACUUUGCUUGUUAUAAUAAGCAUUUAUUAUUUAACUGAAUUUGAAAGGAAAAUGUAAAUGGGGAGACCAGUAAACCAACACUAGCAUGAAAAAGAAAUAUACAAGCAAAAUAGAAAUAAACCCCUUAAACUGCAGGCUUAUUAUUCAGUAACUGCUAUGAAUUAACUGCGAUGAAAUGAACUAUGAUGCAGUUAUGAACGUGGACUAAUGACGUGUAGCCAUAUGGUUUGAAGGUGUUAAACUAGAAUUUCAGCAAUCAUUCAUUUUUAUGACCAGUUCCCAUUUCUGUCAUACUUCAUUGGAAAUGUGUUACAUAACAUUGACAUGACUAUACCUUAAACAUGUCAUGCCAGAUGUCAUAUGCUAUGAUAAGGUGUCUUGCCAAAUUUUGUUCAGUAAGAUAUCAGUGUCAUGAUACUAUUGUCAUCACAUAUUUCACUGUUUUUGUCAUAGUGUCACAUGACAUAAGCUGUAACUGCUUAAAUUCUUGUAAUUACAUUACAUUAGAGACAUAUUGAGAAUGCCAUUUUAUUUUAUUAUUAUCUCUAAGAGAAGAAUACUGCACAAAGUUCCUCUACAUAGAUUAUCUGUGCAACUGUGAACAGCACAACACAAGCACAGGAAGCACCGUAAAGUUGGUGAGCAACCUGCAAAAGCAUCAAAUCAUGCUAAUAUGAAAUGAAUGGAUAAGAAUCCCUGAACACCAGAGAACCCCAACAUCACCUAAACAAACCAGACUUCGUUCAGGAACAGAUCUGUAAGCUUUACAUUUUACUCCUAAAGAAGGACGUUUCUGAACUGUUUCUAUGAUUUUCAAAAAACAACUGGCUGUGUCUUGGUCAAAGGCAGGGACACUCACAAGCCUUAAAAACUGUGUUUACUAUGACUGGCUAUUUUUCUAAAUACAUUACUGAAAAUGACUACUGAGAUUUCCACUGUACCAUUGAUGCAGAUGUGUCUGGGAUUUUACAGAGUAAUACAGAAGACAAGUAAGGAAUGACCCUCAGCAGGUAGCAAAAACAAGGGACUGAAAGAGUAAAUAUAAAUCUGUAGUAAUACAAGUAUAACAAAGAAAGUGUAAUAACAGAAAAAUUACAGAAUUACUACUGUACAGAUGUCAAGAUGAUGUUUCGGACUUUAAAGCAAAUUGGAAAUGUAUGAUUGCAUGGAACAACAUCAGUUGUGCUUUGGACCCCUUCCGUGAGUGGAUAAAUGCGAUGUUGGCGAGUGUGUUGAAAGAGUAUUCAAAGCUAGGUCAAAACUUUGUGUAGGAUGUGCCAUCUGAAAAAGUAAAUUAUCUACUAUUGUCAUUGUAUCAUCAAAAUAAUGCUGAUUUUGCAUUUGAGACCUUCUUUUUCAUCCUGUGCAUGUGGCAUUAAUAUGUAAAGAUGUAUGACAUGGUCUGAAAAACUCCUGCAGCUUUUAAGUGUUUUUUUUCAGGUUUUACAGAGUAACUCGCAGCAUGUUAUAAGCAGGUAAAAUUAUUAAGGAGAAUGGAAGGAGUAAAUGUUAAGUAAUAAUGUAAUGACGAUAAAAUAGUGAAGACAGUUAAAAGAACAACAAUAAAAAAUCAACUAAGAAACAACUAAAAUAAAUUAAAAGCUAAAGAAACUAAAGGCAAAAUCAACUAAAACAGCUGCAAGUGGCAAUGAUUACAGAGUUUAAAUAAAUUAAAUAAAAAUAUAAAAUGGUUGAGUGCUGGUGCACUGUAAAAGCAGAUUUUCCCAGUUCAGUAAAAGCUCUAAGCAUUUAAAGGGUGAUACAGUCACUGGAACCAGUUUGAUCAUUUUCAUCAUUCACAGUGAAAACUGACAUUAUGACAAUGACAGCGUUACAAUAUUUUUAGCCUUCACUGGACAGUGAACCACCCCCCUUAUUGAACUUCAUGCUUAUUUCAGAGGAAUAAUGUAGGAAAAACGACAGCCUUCUUUUUUUUACUCAAAUAUUAACUGUGCGGCGGUUCAAUGAUGCAGUAUGUGUUAUAAAAGGAAGCCUGCCGAGCUCUGCAGCUUUAUUAAAAACUGACUAAACAUAAGUUAUAUUAUGACAGCACUAUUCGUGAACAGAGUCCAGCACUAAAGGCAGCGCUGAGAAGUCAUUCCAGAGAAGGUGUGAGUCAGAGGGGCGGGCUGAGAUGCACUGAGGUCAGGGGCUGGUGGAGCUGUGAUUGAAUUAGAGUGGGUAAAGAGAGAGGGGCAGGCUCAAAGUCAGGACAGAAAGCUUUCUGUGCCCUGCCUGCAGACAGGAAACUACCAGCUUCACUCGCAUUAAGCCUGCUUCCUCUCUUUCCACUCUCACCUCCCCACGACCCUCUGACCCAAUGGCCUUCGUUCUGAAUAUGGCACUGAUCCAACAAAGAGGCCUAGCAGAGAUAAUGCACACACAAACAUGCUUUUUUUGAAGCAACUUUCAUUAUUCCACUGUAACUUUGUAUAGUUUUAUUCUACUGUACUACCCAUCUGUGUUUAUAAAGAGCUGCCCAAGUUUACAAAGCUGUAUAAAUAUGCAUACGCUGCCUGUCAAAAGUUUGGAGACACCUUACUUUUUAAAAAGUAAGUGGUCUUAGCUAGAUAAUGACCCAAAAGGUUGUGUGGGGGGUUUAUCAUGCCUAAACGUCCAUAUUUGUAGUAAUGUUAAUGCUGUUUAUAUAAAAUGUGAAUGAAUAGUGUGACACUCAAAUUCUAAAUUUUUCUCCAAUUCCAAUAGACUUUACAGAUGCACUUUUGUGCAGUGUCUAUAUUAACUGUGUUUUAUGUGGCCAUUCUUUCCUUCCAAAUCUUUCCUUCCUCCGAGUUACUGACUGUCCACCGGUCCGGCCCAAUACUGAUGGAUGUUCCACCCUCAAGUCCCCCUGUCCCCCUGAUUGACCAGACUGAGGGAAGU